UACGUAGGGGGCAAGCGUUGUCCGGAUUAACUGGGCGUAAAGGGUGCGUAGGCGGUUUGGUAAGUCAAAUGUGGAAGCCCGCAGCUCAACUGCGGAACUGCAUUUGAUACUGCUAGACUCGAGUUCGAGAGAGGCAAGUGGAAUUCCUAGUGUAGCGGUGGAAUGCGUAGAUAUUAGGAGGAACACCAGUGGCGAAGGCGGCUUGCUGGAACGACACUGACGCUGAGGCACGAAAGCGUGGGGAGCAAAC
RNAcentral lists this ribosomal RNA (250 nucleotides) under uncultured prokaryote. Its description in RNAcentral is "partial 16S ribosomal RNA". It matches the Rfam family "Bacterial small subunit ribosomal RNA", at positions 524 to 773 of the family's 1533-position model. The record is from RNAcentral.